This 477-nucleotide ribosomal RNA is filed under the name uncultured bacterium. Its description in RNAcentral is "partial 16S ribosomal RNA". It matches the Rfam family "Bacterial small subunit ribosomal RNA", at positions 28 to 506 of the family's 1533-position model. The record is from RNAcentral.
GAUGAACGCUGGCGGCGUGCUUAACACAUGCAAGUCGAACGGGAAACCUUUUAAUGAAGCUUCGGCAGAUUUAGCUGGUUUCUAGUGGCGGACGGGUGAGUAACGCGUGGGUAACCUGCCUUAUACAGGGGGAUAACAGUCAGAAAUGACUGCUAAUACCGCAUAAGCGCACAGGACCGCAUGGUCCGGUGUGAAAAACUCCGGUGGUAUAAGAUGGACCCGCGUUGGAUUAGCUUGUUGGUGGGGUAACGGCUCACCAAGGCGACGAUCCAUAGCCGGCCUGAGAGGGUGAACGGCCACAUUGGGACUGAGACACGGCCCAGACUCCGACGGGGGGCAGCAGUGGGGAAUAUGGCACAAUGGGGGAAACCCUGAUGCAGCGACGCCGCGUGAAGGAAGAAGUAUCUCGGUAUGUAAACUUCUAUCAGCAGGGAAGAUAGUGACGGUACCUGACUAAGAAGCCCCGGCGAACUACGU